GAUAAACGCUGGCGGCGUGCAUGAGACAUGCAAGUCAUACGGACGAUCGGGGUUCGCUCUGAUCGUUAGUGGCGGACGGCUGAGUAACGCGUAGGUGACCUGCCCCGAAGUGGGAUAACUGCCCGAAGGGUGGCUAAUACCGCAUGUGGUGGUGCGUUCGAUCGCACCAGUAAAGCCGCAAGGCGCUUCGGGAGGGCCGCGUCCGAUUAGCUCGUUGGUGAGGUAACGGCUCACCAAGGCGACGAUCGGUAGGUGGUCUGAGAGGACGAUCACCCAGACUGGGACUGAGACACGGCCCAGACUCCUACGGGAGGCAGCAGUCGGGAAUUUUGCGCAAUGGACGAAAGUCUGACGCAGCAACGCCGCGUGAGGGAUGAAGGCCUUCGGU
RNAcentral lists this ribosomal RNA (388 nucleotides) under uncultured bacterium. RNAcentral describes it as "bacterial SSU rRNA". It matches the Rfam family "Bacterial small subunit ribosomal RNA", at positions 28 to 422 of the family's 1533-position model. The record is from RNAcentral.